GUGUGUUGGAGCCAGAGGGAGGAGAGGUGUGGGCAGGGCAGCUGUUAGAGCCGCGUCCGGGAGGGAAACCCGAGGCCCCGAGCUGGAAGGGACAGGCGUCGUCGUCGCCGCGUUGCCUCUGCUUCACCCGCGCGCCUGAGAGCGCCGCCUCCGCCAGGUGGAAGCAGGAUCGAGGCUGGUUUCUUCGGUAAACUGGGAAGCAGACUCUUGAGUUCACAGCUGGCCUGUGGGUUUUGCAUCUCGUUAAGGAGCACCUCGUCAUACAGCUUUCCAGCAGAACGAAUCGCUGCUUCUCUGCUCACACAGCCCGCUGCCCUCACCAUGGAGUGUGUGGCCUUGAGUUUUUGCUCCUGCCUUCUUGUCCUGCUUCUACAUUAACACUCCUCAUCGUUCAGCCUUUGCAGUCGCUUUGUUUGGGUGUGUGCAGCGCUAAGCAAAGAGAAAGACGUCAUCUUCUGGUUUCUGCAUGUACUUUCCACAACCUGGUCGAGGUUCCAGCCAACAAGUCCACGUAAAAGCAGUCGCCUAACCAUGGUGUCUUCUCCCUGAUGCUGAGCCCCAGUUGUACAGCUGCCUGAAGGAGAAUUUAGUGAAAGACAAGGCAGCAAAAGAAAUCCGAGUCUCAGCUGACCCCCUGCGUGUUCUUAGGGUUGCCUAGAGUCAGGACUUCAGCUUUGCCCAGGAAUUUCCAGUCUCCACGGAAUCCAGUUUGUCUGCCAUACUUGAAAAAUAAACUAAGAAAAGAAAUUGCAGUUUAAAAGCCCAGAUGUUAAAAUAUGAGUAGGAUUUGUUUUUUAGUCUGUUUUUGGAAUUUGGAAGUUUAUCUACUAUUUUGUGUUGCUCCGUCCCUGCAGAAGCUGAAUGCAAGGUGGUGGUUGUGUGUCUGGUCUUCACGCCGCCAAACACAUCGGGAGUGCUUACGAAUUCAUAAUAAUACGAACUCUUUGAGCUUCCAGGAGAUAUCUGAUUCGCAGAGUGCCUCCUGGUGUAUAAUACCAUCCUAAUCAGGGUAGAAAAGAAAUGACGUAGGUCAAGCCGUCAAGUUGUUGAGCUGGUCCUCGUCCUCACAGGGGCUCUCACACACAGGUGGGCGUUCAGGCACACGUCACAGAGCUCUUGAGUUGGAUCGUGACUACCUCACAUCAUCCUACUUGGAAAAUCCAAGAAGUGAUACAGAGCCUGAAUUUCCAUAGAGCUUCUGAACUUUGUGUUUUGGACUUCUGAUAGGUGCUUUUCUUUCAUUCAUGAAAUGUUUACCGUUUCUAAAGAUGGGACUGCUGGCAUUUCAAUGGUAGAAUUUGUGUAUCAGGGCAUAU
RNAcentral lists this long non-coding RNA (1316 nucleotides) under Equus asinus (donkey). RNAcentral describes it as "lncRNA (ENSEASG00005037246.1)". Lineage: Eukaryota; Metazoa; Chordata; Mammalia; Perissodactyla; Equidae. The record is from RNAcentral.